UGGGGGAUAUUGCACAAUGGGCGUAAGCCUGAUGCAGCGACGCCGCGUGGGGGAUGAAGGCUUUCGGGUUGUAAACCUCUUUCGCUAUCGAACAAGGCCCGCUUAGGGUGGGUUGAGGGUAGGUGGAGAAGAAGCGCCGGCUAACUACGUGCCAGCAGCCGCGGUAAUACGUAGGGCGCGAGCGUUGUCCGGAAUUAUUGGGCGUAAAGGGCUUGUAGGCGGCUUGUUGCGCCUGCUGUGAAAACGCGGGGCUUAACUUCGCGCGUGCAGUGGGUACGGGCAGGCUUGAGUGUGGUAGGGGUGACUGGAAUUCCAGGUGUAGCGGUGGAAUGCGCAGAUAUCUGGAGGAACACCGAUGGCGAAGGCAGGUCACUGGGCCAUUACUGACGCUGAGGAGCGAAAGCAUGGGUAGCGAACAGG
RNAcentral lists this ribosomal RNA (420 nucleotides) under bacterium. Its description in RNAcentral is "partial 16S ribosomal RNA". It matches the Rfam family "Bacterial small subunit ribosomal RNA", at positions 355 to 776 of the family's 1533-position model. The record is from RNAcentral.